UUUUUUUGAAAUUAUUGUUGAGGGUACAGAAGCCUCAAAAGUUAAUUAGACGGAAAGACCCCGGGAUCUUUUAAUUUUGCCUGGGGCAGGUUUUAAUAUUUCAUUAAUAUUAUGACCCUAGUGGUUUAGUGAGUAAGUUACCCCGGGGAUAACAGUGUGAUAGUUAAUAAGAGAUCGUAUCGAAUUAAUUGUUUGCCACCUCGAUGUUGAC
Molecule: ribosomal RNA, 211 nt
Filed under: Schizorchis ochotonae
Lineage: Eukaryota; Metazoa; Platyhelminthes; Cestoda; Cyclophyllidea; Anoplocephalidae
Description: partial large subunit ribosomal RNA
Rfam family: Bacterial large subunit ribosomal RNA
Source: RNAcentral